RNAcentral lists this ribosomal RNA (244 nucleotides) under uncultured Staphylococcus sp. RNAcentral's name for it is "partial 16S ribosomal RNA". It matches the Rfam family "Bacterial small subunit ribosomal RNA", at positions 96 to 334 of the family's 1533-position model. Lineage: Bacteria; Bacillati; Bacillota; Bacilli; Caryophanales; Staphylococcaceae. The record is from RNAcentral.
CGGCGGACGGGUGAGUAACACGUGGAUAACCUACCUAUAAGACUGGGAUAACUUCGGGAAACCGGAGCUAAUACCGGAUAAUAUAUUGAACCGCAUGGUUCAAUAGUGAAAGACGGUUUUGCUGUCACUUAUAGAUGGAUCCGCGUCGCAUUAGCUAGUUGGUAAGGUAACGGCUUACCAAGGCAACGAUGCGUAGCCGACCUGAGAGGGUGAUCGGCCACACUGGAACUGAGACACGGUCCAG